AGUGAACGCUGGCGGUAGGCCUAACACAUGCAAGUCGAACGGCAGCACAGUAAGAGCUUGCUCUUACGGGUGGCGAGUGGCGGACGGGUGAGGAAUACAUCGGAAUCUACUUUUUCGUGGGGGAUAACGUAGGGAAACUUACGCUAAUACCGCAUACGACCUACGGGUGAAAGCAGGGGAUCUUCGGACCUUGCGCGAUUGAAUGAGCCGAUGUCGGAUUAGCUAGUUGGCGGGGUAAAGGCCCACCAAGGCGACGCUCCGUAGCUGGUCUGAGAGGAUGAUCAGCCACACUGGAACUGAGACACGGUCCAGACUCCUACGGGAGGCAGCAGUGGGGAAUAUUGGGCAAUGGGCGCAAGCCUGAUCCAGCCAUACCGCGCGAGUGAAGAAGGCCUUCGGGUUGUAAAGCCCUGUUGUUGGGAAAGAAAAGCAGCAGGUUAAUACGCGGCUAUUCUGACGGUACCCAAAGAAUAAGCACCGGCUAACUUCGUG
This 492-nucleotide ribosomal RNA is filed under the name uncultured bacterium. RNAcentral's name for it is "partial 16S ribosomal RNA". It matches the Rfam family "Bacterial small subunit ribosomal RNA", at positions 29 to 507 of the family's 1533-position model. The record is from RNAcentral.